GGCCAUUUAUUUAAGGCCUGGAAAGAAUUUACCAACUAUAAGAAAAUCAUGUGACUUUCUUGGUGAAAUGGCAUCAGAAGAUUUCCGGGGACCAAAGAGCACCAUAACCAGGUGUAGCUGGAGUCAGGCCAUUUUGUGUCAGCCAGUGCCAAAGUCCUUCCAGGUGGUGGCUGCUCUUUCUAAGGACUAUUUGAACUUACAGCAAUCUGAUCAAGGCAGGUUUUAGAGUUUCAGGAAUGCUGGUGAGCCAUGUCUUGCAUGUUUAACCCAAAGCUUCCCUGGAGUUGGAGACUGCACUACUUUUCAUCCAUCAUACACUUUUUGGGCACUCGCUUGUUGGUGCUGGGCACUGUGUUAGACUCCAGAAAGACAGAUAAUUGUUUAGUAAAGGAAAAAAAAAUGCUGUUUCUGCCCUGGAAAAAUGUGCCUGACACAGAGGCCUUUUGUAUUUCUGUUCUGGUCAAAUAGCAACUCUCUCCUCGAGGCCAUAAAUGCUGAAGCUUAGACCUAGUAUUUGAUAGCACAACAGGGUAACUAUAGUCAAUAAUAAUUUAAUUGUACAUUUAAAAAUAACUAAAAGAGUAUAGUUGGAUGGUUUGUAACACAAAGGAUAAAUGCUUGAGGGGAUGGAUACCCUACUUUCCAUGAUGUGAUUAUUAUGCAUUGCAUGCCUGUACCCAAAUAUCUCAUGUAUCCCACAAAUAUAUAGACCUACUAUGUGCCCACAAAAAUUAAAAAUUAAGAAUUAAAAAAAAAAUGCCACAAGACAGGAGAGGUAAGUUAGCCUAGAAAGAGCUUGUUAAAAAAAAAAAAAAAAUCCUUUCUUUACAGUCGAAUAAUAUUUUAGCAAUGCUGCCCUCUGCAGAGCAAAACUAGGAUCGCAACUCUAGGUGGUUAAACGAACUUCCCAACACUGGUUAAUUUGAAGAGAACUGGAAGAUUCAAUGGUCUUCCAGAGUUUUCUCACAUACCCCCCUAAAAUAAUUGUGAAUAAUCAUGUGCCUCCUUGCGUGUUUUUAAGUUGACAUCUAAAUUUGCCUUAUCACCUUAAUAGUUGCAAAGGAUGUUCUUUCCCACACAUUUUCUGAGCUUUAAAUAGUUGCAGAUUGAGCGUAUCCAGUUUAGUUUAUGAAAAACACCAUCUGUAUCACCUGGUGGGCAAAGCCAGCCCUCAUUGUCAGACCAAUCAGCUAACUUUGAAUUGCUUUCUGACAGAAAAAUAGUUUACUCGACUGUAUUAAUCACGCUGCUGAUAAAGACUUAUCCGAGACUGGGUAAUUCUUAAAAAAAAGGAGGUUUAAUGGACUCACAGUUCCAUGUGGCUGGAGACGCCUCAUAAUCAUGGUGGAAGAUGAAGGAAGAGCAAUGGGACGUCUUACAUGGCAGCAGGCAAGAGAGAAAGAGAGCCAAACGAAAGGGGAAACCCCUAUAAAAGCAUCAAAUGUUUGAUGAAAAGACUUUGAAAUUCAUUGUUGAAAAGACUUAUUCUGUUCAACAUUGUUGAAAAGUUGUUUGAAAAGACUUAUUCAUUACCAUGAGAACAGUAUGUGGGAAACUGCCCCCAUGACUCAAUGAUUUCCCACUGGCACCCUCCCACAACACGUGGGAAUUAUGGAAGCUGCAAUUCAAGAUGAGAUUUGGGUGGAGACACAGCCAAACCAUAUCAUUGACUGACUUAAAUUCAACAGAACUGUGCUUUGGAGGACAUCGUUGCGCUGCUGACUUCUAACACUGAGGUGAUCCUGCCUUAUCCUGGAGAAAGAAAUGUUAUGCAAGAGGCCAAGAAGAAGCUAAACAAACAAGCCAUGAUGGAUUCCCAUCUCAGCUUAUUACCAUUGGGACAUGUCCUUUUUGUCCAAUCACAUUUCUACAUGGCAGUACAGUCUUCAUCAAACCUAAGCAUUAAAAAAAAAGUUUUCUCUGGGUCUUUGGGUCUUUUGUUUCGGAAGGCUCCUGUAUUACAUAAAACUUUGUUAAAUAAAUUUGUUAUACUUUUUU
Molecule: long non-coding RNA, 1998 nt
Filed under: Homo sapiens (human)
Lineage: Eukaryota; Metazoa; Chordata; Mammalia; Primates; Hominidae
Description: HSALNT0373311
Source: RNAcentral